RNAcentral lists this transfer RNA (64 nucleotides) under Oligolophus tienmushanensis. RNAcentral describes it as "tRNA-Ser". The record is from RNAcentral. Lineage: Eukaryota; Metazoa; Arthropoda; Arachnida; Opiliones; Phalangiidae.
AAUCGUUUAGCUAUAAGUUUAAGCAUUUGUUUUGAAAGCAUAUAAAAGGAUUCCUAACGAUUUU